AGUGAACGCUGGUGGUAGGCCUAACACAUGCAAGUCGAACGGCAGCACAGUAAGAGCUUGCUCUUACGGGUGGCGAGUGGCGGACGGGUGAGGAAUACAUCGGAAUCUACUUUUUCGUGGGGGAUAACGUAGGGAAACUUACGCUAAUACCGCAUACGACCUACGGGUGAAAGCAGGGGAUCUUCGGACCUUGCGCGAUUGAAUGAGCCGAUGUCGGAUUAGCUAGUUGGCGGGGUAAAGGCCCACCAAGGCGACGAUCCGUAGCUGGUCUGAGAGGAUGAUCAGCCACACUGGAACUGAGACACGGUCCAGACUCCUACGGGAGGCAGCAGUGGGGAAUAUUGGACAAUGGGCGCAAGCCUGAUCCAGCCAUACCGCGUGGGUGAAGAAGGGCUUCGGGUUGUAAAGCCCUUUUGUUGGGAAAGAAAAGCAGCAGGUUAAUACCCCGCUGUUCUGACGGUACCCAAAGAAUAAGCACCGGCUAACUUCGUG
RNAcentral lists this ribosomal RNA (492 nucleotides) under uncultured bacterium. RNAcentral's name for it is "partial 16S ribosomal RNA". It matches the Rfam family "Bacterial small subunit ribosomal RNA", at positions 29 to 507 of the family's 1533-position model. The record is from RNAcentral.